This 373-nucleotide unclassified non-coding RNA is filed under the name plant metagenome. Its description in RNAcentral is "partial contains 5.8S ribosomal RNA, internal transcribed spacer 2, and large subunit ribosomal RNA". The stretch from base 1 to 100 matches the Rfam family "5.8S ribosomal RNA", at positions 55 to 154 of the family's 154-position model. The record is from RNAcentral.
GCGAUAAGUAAUGUGAAUUGCAGCAUUCAGUGAAUCAUCGAAUCUUUGAACGCACCUUGCGCUCCUUGGUAUUCCUUGGAGCAUGCCUGUUUGAGUAUCAUGAAAUCUUCAAAGUAAAUCUUUUGUUAACUCAAUUGGUUUCUACUUUGGUAUUGGAGGUCUUUGCAGCUUCACACCUGCUCCUCUUUGUUCAUUAGCUGGAUCUCAGUGUUAUGCUUGGUUCCACUCGGCGUGAUAAGUUAUCUAUCGCUGAGGACACUGUAAAAGGUGGCCAAGGUAAAUGCAGAUGAACCGCUUCUAAUAGUCCAUUGACUUGGACAAUACUUUUAUGAUCUGAUCUCAAAUCAGGUAGAACUACCCGCUGAACUUAAGC